This 441-nucleotide ribosomal RNA is filed under the name uncultured bacterium. RNAcentral's name for it is "partial 16S ribosomal RNA". It matches the Rfam family "Bacterial small subunit ribosomal RNA", at positions 338 to 795 of the family's 1533-position model. The record is from RNAcentral.
CCUACGGGAGGCAGCAGUGGGGAAUAUUGCACAAUGGGGGAAACCCUGAUGCAGCGACGCCGCGUGAGUGAAGAAGUAUUUCGGGAUGUAAAGCUCUAUCAGCAGGGAAGAAAAAAGACGGUAGCUGACUAAGAAGGCCCGGCUAACUACGGGCCAGCAGCCGCGGUAAUACGGAGGGGGCAGGCGUUAUCCGGAUUUACUGGGUGUAAAGGGGGCGUAGACGGCGCGGCAGGGCUGGAGUGAAAGGCAGGGGCUUAACCCCUAAACUGCUUUGGAAACUGCCGUGCUAGAGUGCUGGAGGGGUAAGUGGAAUUCCUAGUGUAGCGGUGAAAUGCGUAGAUAUUAGGAGGAACACCAGUGGCGAAGGCGGCUUACUGGACAGUAACUGACGUUGAGGCUCGAAAGCGUGGGGAGCAAACAGGAUUAGAUACCCCUGUAGUC